RNAcentral lists this ribosomal RNA (1432 nucleotides) under uncultured organism. Its description in RNAcentral is "16S ribosomal RNA". It matches the Rfam family "Bacterial small subunit ribosomal RNA". The record is from RNAcentral.
CGACAGGCUUAACACAUGCAAGUCGAGGGGCAGCGGGGGUAGCGAUACCCGCCGGCGACCGGCGCACGGGUGAGUAACGCGUAUGCAACUUGCCUAUCAGAGGGGGAUAACCCGGCGAAAGUCGGACUAAUACCGCAUGAAGCAGGGGCCCCGCAUGGGGAUAUUUGCUGAAGAUUCAUCGCUGAUAGAUAGGCAUGCGUUCCAUUAGGCAGUUGGCGGGGUAACGGCCCACCAAACCGACGAUGGAUAGGGGUUCUGAGAGGAAGGUCCCCCACAUUGGUACUGAGACACGGACCAAACUCCUACGGGAGGCAGCAGUGAGGAAUAUUGGUCAAUGGCCGAGAGGCUGAACCAGCCAAGUCGCGUGAGGGAUGAAGGUUCUAUGGAUCGUAAACCUCUUUUAUAAGGGAAUAAAGUGCGGGACGUGUCCCGUUUUGUAUGUACCUUAUGAAUAAGGAUCGGCUAACUCCGUGCCAGCAGCCGCGGUAAUACGGAGGAUCCGAGCGUUAUCCGGAUUUAUUGGGUUUAAAGGGUGCGUAGGCGGCCUUUUAAGUCAGCGGUGAAAGUCUGUGGCUCAACCAUAGAAUUGCCGUUGAAACUGGGGGGCUUGAGUAUGUUUGAGGCAGGCGGAAUGCGUGGUGUAGCGGUGAAAUGCAUAGAUAUCACGCAGAACCCCGAUUGCGAAGGCAGCCUGCCAAGCCAUUACUGACGCUGAUGCACGAAAGCGUGGGGAUCAAACAGGAUUAGAUACCCUGGUAGUCCACGCAGUAAACGAUGAUCACUAGCUGUUUGCGAUACACUGUAAGCGGCACAGCGAAAGCGUUAAGUGAUCCACCUGGGGAGUACGCCGGCAACGGUGAAACUCAAAGGAAUCGACGGGGGCCCGCACAAGCGGAGGAACAUGUGGUUUAAUUCGAUGAUACGCGAGGAACCUUACCCGGGUUUGAACGCAUUCGGACCGAGGUGGAAACACCUUUUCUAGCAAUAGCCGUUUGCGAGGUGCUGCAUGGUUGUCGUCAGCUCGUGCCGUGAGGUGUCGGCUUAAGUGCCAUAACGAGCGCAACCCUUGCCACUAGUUACUAACAGGUAAAGCUGAGGACUCUGGUGGGACUGCCAGCGUAAGCUGCGAGGAAGGCGGGGAUGACGUCAAAUCAGCACGGCCCUUACAUCCGGGGCGACACACGUGUUACAAUGGCGUGGACAAAGGGAAGCCACCUGGCGACAGGGAGCGAAUCCCCAAACCACGUCUCAGUUCGGAUCGGAGUCUGCAACCCGACUCCGUGAAGCUGGAUUCGCUAGUAAUCGCGCAUCAGCCAUGGUGCGGUGAAUACGUUCCCGGGCCUUGUACACACCGCCCGUCAAGCCAUGGGAGCCGGGGGUACCUGAAGUCCGUAACCGAAAGGAUCGGCCUAGGGUAAAACUGGUGACUGGG